Molecule: long non-coding RNA, 1176 nt
Organism: Choloepus didactylus (southern two-toed sloth)
Lineage: Eukaryota; Metazoa; Chordata; Mammalia; Pilosa; Megalonychidae
Exons: 3
Source: RefSeq, a predicted model, not a curated record
GCAAGAGGCUGGAAAUCAGUGGAACUUGGAAGAAAAGGGAGAGACCAGGAGAUGCCACCAUGUGCCUUGCCAUGUCACAGAGGAGCCAAAGAUUGCUGACAGCUGGGCCCAGAACGUUGGUCUUCAGGAAGAAAACAUUGCCUUGAUGACACCUUGGUUUGGACUUUCUUUCAGCCUCAAAACUAAAAGGAAAUUGAGGCUGAGAAAGAGUCAGCAUCCUGUCCAACAUGGCUUGUAUAUUGAAGAUCAAGUUUAAUCCCAAAGAAAAUUGUGUUUUGUUCAUUAUUCUUCUGAAAGAAAAGAGCAGUUGUGGAAGAAAUUACCGAGAGUCACUCAUUGACUGCCAGCAUGUGAAGUAUCCACGCUGAAGAGUUGGUUGUGGAGGUGCUGGUGGAGGACGGUGGAGAUAGCAGAAGAGGAAAGCCCGGUUAAAGAGCUAGCGUUACCAAGGUGUCUGCUAGCACAUCUGCUUCGUGGCAAAAGCCAUGCAUCAGUUGCACUUGUUUGUUCCCCUGGUGAUGACAUUACAAGCUUGUUUAUGGAUGCUCUCUAAGCAGAAGGUUGAAUUUAGAUAUGGUAUAGUUUAUUCUGUUCUAAUGGGAUGAAAUAUUGUUUGGAUGCUGGAUUCAGAAUGAUUACUGCAGCAUGGAUUGACUUUCAGCUAUUCUUUGGCAUUUGUUUUUGAACAGGAGAUGCAAGUUUUCAACGUUUCAGUGGUUAUGUUUCUGGUAGGCCAUUGUAGAAUAAGCACGAGUUUCUUCUGUUGUGCACAUUUAAAACCAAAGAUACUCAUGUAAAAGCAACCCACAUCUCUCAGUCAGUAUGCAUAUACUAUUUCAAAGGAAGAGUUUUUAACGCAAUUAAUGUUGUAAUUGUUAGCAAUCCUAGCAGGGUGUCACAAAGAUAAAUGAGGUCACGUUGAUAAACUGCAUUGAAACCUUUGGGUGAAAAUUACUGUGGAAGGUAUGUCCCAUGCAUGCAUAAAGAAAUUAAUUUCUCUUUCUAGUAGAAACAAUACUGCUAAUUAUUAAAAGGUGUGUCUUAUCAGGGAGCCUUAUGAGAGAAGAAUGUAAGUCCCUAAGCGCAGAUCAAUUCCGAUGAAAUUACAUAGAUUAUUCAGGAAGAAAAAGAAUGUGAUGUUGCCUCAAGUAACCGAAAAUGGAAAGCAAUGUGGUG